GAUGAACGCUGGCGGCGUGCUUAACACAUGCAAGUCGAACGGAGAGGCCGUGCGGUUGUGGUGUGAUCGAGUGCCGUACGUGUGAGUAGCACGUGGGUGACCUGCGCGUGACUUUGGUGUAACUUCAGGAAACUUAGGCGAAGACAAGGGAUGUGCUGCUCGUGCAGGUUGGCGAUUGGAAAGGUUCGGCGGUUGGGGAUGGACUUGCGGCUUAUCAGCUUGUUGGUUGGGUAGUGGCUGACCAAGGCUUUGAAGGGUAGCCGGCCUGAGAGGGUGACCGGCCACAUUGGGACUGAGAUACGGCCCAGACUCCUACGGGAGGCAGCAGUGGGGAAUAUUGCACAAUGGGCGGAAGCCUGAUGCAGCAACGCCGCGUGCGGGAUGACGGCAUUCGGGUUGUAAACCGCUUUCGCAUGUGACGAAGCGUGAGUGACGGUAAUGGGUAAAGAAGCACCGGCUAACUACGUG
RNAcentral lists this ribosomal RNA (468 nucleotides) under uncultured bacterium. Its description in RNAcentral is "partial 16S ribosomal RNA". It matches the Rfam family "Bacterial small subunit ribosomal RNA", at positions 28 to 507 of the family's 1533-position model. The record is from RNAcentral.